Long non-coding RNA from Telopea speciosissima, 479 nucleotides. RefSeq lists it as uncharacterized. NCBI's taxonomy places the organism in Eukaryota, Viridiplantae, Streptophyta, Magnoliopsida, Proteales, Proteaceae. The record is from RefSeq and is a predicted model, not a curated record. The transcript is spliced from 2 exons.
UUACAAGACACAUGGAGACAUUCUUGAGACUGUCGGUUGGAAAAGAAAACGUGGGGACAACUGGAUAAAUAUCACCCACCAGCUGUACUCUAUUUUCUCUUUUCCUUCCUUAUCCCUCUGUUUAAAAUUUUCACCAUUAUAUUAAAGCCAAAUAAUUUAGGUAAAAUAACCAACUAACCAAGGAAGCAAGUAGUAAGAAGGGUUCCGACUUUGAUUCCUUUGUCCCACGAUGAAAUCCUCUUUGCCCUUUCUUUCUUUCUUUUUUUUUUUUCUUCUUUUUUUUCUUUCUUUCUUCCUUUUUUCUUUUUUUUUCUUUUUUAAUACUAAGGCAUGAUCCCAUGCAUCACACUAUAUAUAAACCACAUUCUACACAAACCCAAUCAAAACAUUAGAAAAGGCAUUUAAUCUUAUAUAAUUAAAAAAAAAAAACCAAGGUGUUCAAUACAAUAAGGCGGUGGAAGGCCUAGGUCCCCAUAAAA